UACAGAGGGUGCGAGCGUUAAUCGGAAUUACUGGGCGUAAAGCGUGCGUAGCCGGUUAUUUAAGUCGGAUGUGAAAGCCCCGGGCUCAACCUGGGAAUUGCAUUCGAGACUGAAUAGCUAGGGUACGGUAGAGGGAAGUGGAAUUUCCGGUGUAGCGGUGAAAUGCGUAGAUAUCGGAAGGAACAUCAGUGGCGAAAGCGACUUCCUGGACCAGUACCGACGUUCAGGCACGAAAGCGUGGGGAGCAAACAGG
RNAcentral lists this ribosomal RNA (253 nucleotides) under uncultured bacterium. RNAcentral's name for it is "partial 16S ribosomal RNA". It matches the Rfam family "Bacterial small subunit ribosomal RNA", at positions 524 to 776 of the family's 1533-position model. The record is from RNAcentral.